Molecule: ribosomal RNA, 433 nt
Filed under: uncultured bacterium
Lineage: Bacteria
Description: partial 16S ribosomal RNA
Rfam family: Bacterial small subunit ribosomal RNA
Source: RNAcentral
AGCGAACGCUGGCGGCAGGCCUAACACAUGCAAGUCGAACGGAUCCUUCGGGAUUAGCGGCGGACGGGUGAGUAACACGUGGGAACGUGCCCUUUGGUUCGGAACAACUCAGGGAAACUUGAGCUAAUACCGGAUGUGCCCUUCGGGGGAAAGAUUUAUCGCCAUUGGAGCGGCCCGCGUCUGAUUAGCUAGUUGGUGAGGUAACGGCCCACCAAGGCGACGAUCAGUAGCUGGUCUGAGAGGAUGAUCAGCCACACUGGGACUGAGACACGGCCCAGACUCCUACGGGAGGCAGCAGUGGGGAAUCUUGCGCAAUGGGCGAAAGCCUGACGCAGCCAUGCCGCGUGAAUGAUGAAGGUCUUAGGAUUGUAAAAUUCUUUCAGCGGGGACGAUAAUGACGGUACCCGCAGAAGAAGCUCCGGCUAACUUCGUG